ACGGCUCAGUAACACGUGGACAACCUGCCCUUAGGACGGGGAUAAACCCGGGAAACUGGGUAUAAUACCCGAUAGGUCUCGACUGCUGGAAUGCAUCGAGGUCUAAAGCUCCGGCGCCUAAGGAUGGGUCUGCGGCCUAUCGGGUAGUAGUGGGUGUAGUGUACCUACUAGCCUACGACGGGUACGGGUUGUGAGAGCAAGAGCCCGGAGAUGGAUUCUGAGACACGAAUCCAGGCCCUACGGGGUGCAGCAGGCGCGAAAACUUUACAAUGCCGGCAACGGCGAUAAGGGAACCUCGAGUGCCAGGUUACAAAUCUGGCUGUCGUGAUGCCUAAAAAGCAUUGCAUAGCAAGGGCCGGGCAAGACCGGUGCCAGCCGCCGCGGUAACACCGGCGGCUCGAGUGGUAACCGUUAUUAUUGGGUCUAAAGGGUCUGUAGCCGGCCGGGUAAGUCUCUUGGGAAAUCUGGCAGCUUAACUGUCGGGCUUUCAGGAGAUACUGCUCGGCUCGAGGCCGGGAGAGGUGAGAGGUACUUCAGGGGUAGGGGUGAAAUCUUGUAAUCCUUGAAGGACCACCAGUGGCGAAGGCGUCUCACCAGAACGGACCUGACGGCAAGGGACGAAAGCUAGGGGCACGAACCGGAUUAGAUACCCGGGUAGUCCUAGCCGUAAACGAUACUCGCUAGGUGUCGGCCACGGUGCGACCGUAGUCGGUGCCGUAGGGAAGCCGUGAAGCGAGCCACCUGGGAAGUACGGCCGCAAGGCUGAAACUUAAAGGAAUUGGCGGGGGAGCACCACAACGGGUGGAGCUUGCGGUUUAAUUGGAUUCAACGCCGGA
This 836-nucleotide ribosomal RNA is filed under the name uncultured archaeon. RNAcentral describes it as "bacterial SSU rRNA". It matches the Rfam family "Archaeal small subunit ribosomal RNA", at positions 85 to 922 of the family's 1478-position model. The record is from RNAcentral.